This 700-nucleotide long non-coding RNA is filed under the name Manihot esculenta (cassava). RNAcentral's name for it is "long non-coding RNA (MESC_LNC000820)". The record is from RNAcentral. Lineage: Eukaryota; Viridiplantae; Streptophyta; Magnoliopsida; Malpighiales; Euphorbiaceae.
UUUGACUCAUUUCCCACACCCACCAUUACUGUUAUCUCACUUUCCAGUUUCCUCCAUAGACGUUCUCUGCCACCCCCUCACACAUAUACCAAUAAGAUUAAUCUAAUUGAAUUACGUGAUGCUGGUAAUGCUAUGCUAGCUGUUGGUGUAUUAUUCUUACUUGGCUUGGCUUGGCUGCACUCGUUUUGGCAGAGAGGAUCGCACUCAUUUCACGCCGUACUUCAUCAUUGUACCAUUAUUUUAGUUUCGCAGAUUCCGUGGAGCUUCUGCCACACACACAUCGCAUAACCAGUGUUAGAUCUGUUCAAUUAUCGUAUGGAAUUUGUUGGUUUAGGGUUUAAUUAUUGUUUGUUUUUUGUCAUUUGCAUUUGGGUUCUUUUUAUAAUUCUCGUUUUUUAUGUGUAUAUUUUGCUUUUCUUCCAAGGAAAAUUUAUUUUGAUGCUCAUUAUUAUUGCUUUGACAGCAAUCACAAGGCCAUGAUAAGCAGGCGAGCUGUAAAGACUGCGGACAUAUUGGUAUGGAGGAAACCAGAAAAAUAUGGUUACCAUCACACUCCAUAUUAUUAUAAAUUAAAUUCAUGGUUCCAAAGGCAAGUUAGCGUUGAUGAUUGGUAGCUAGGCUAAGCUACAAUUCAACACCAAAAUUAAAAAUAGUAAGUCAAUUAUUCGUUAUUAUUCUCAUAAAAGCAACCCAUUUUUUU